CAUCAUACUUACUGGCAGGCUUGGAUGAGCCCGUCCCUAAAGUAAGCCCAGGAAGGAAGACACUAUAUCUUUUCCCUACUGAUAUAUCCGCAGCCCCCAGCCCAGGGACUGGGACACAGUAGGUGCUCAAUAAGUAUUGAACAAAUGAAAGAAUAAUACCUGGCAGCACUGCUGUGAGGGGAGACUGCCAUUUCCAUCACCAUUACUGUGACCGGCCAGGUCCUGCCAACUGGUGGGCUCAGGAUGCAGAGGGGUAAUCCCAGCAGCAGUGGCAGCUGCUACCCCCUCCUCUGUGCCAGGCCAUCAGGUCCACCCAACUCUGGGGGCUCUCUUCUGUUAUCCCCAUUUUACAGAGGAGGAACCAGAAGCUCCAAGCGGUAGAAUGACUUGCCCAAGGUUAGACAGCCAGCCUGACAUGCACUAGAGAUUGCUUUCCUGUCCCCAGGCACCUCCUCCAAGCAGCCACCUGGGACCUACAGGCUGAAAACGGGAUAACUGUGAGUUGCUGGUGCACUGACUUGGUUGGUAACUCAUGGGAAUGAAAGGCUGGUGUGAGCACGACUGUGCCCAGUGGUGUUGCUCCUCCGGGGACAGGGAAGUGGGGCUAGGGUGGGGAGGAUGUUGGUGUGGGGAAGCAAUCUAUCUCCUGGGGAUGCUGGGGAUGCUGCUCUCCCAAAACAUGUUGGAGAAUUUAGUUAUCAAGAAAUACCUAUUAUUUAUUGACCAUAUACUUUAUUAUCCAAAUCAGGACACUUACAAGAUUGAAAAGGAAGCUGUUAAUAAUUAUUCCAAAGCUGGCCUGGGAAAAUCAUGACAUGGGCACAUUAUUCAUUGAACACUUACUAUGUGGCAGGAUGAAUACUGGAUAGUUCACAUGUACCAUCACUUUCUCUCCUCACGGUGACCCAUGAAAAGCUACGGCAGCCACCUUAGCCUCUUCCCUGUUUCUCUGUCAAGGCUGAAUUUUCACCACUGGAGUCUCUGCCUUGGGCUAAGGGCUUAACAUGUCACCUCUUCCAAGAGGCCUUCCCUGGCCACCCUGAAGUCUAAAGUACUUCCCAGCACCACACAAUGGCUCCGGCCUUGGGUUUCUGCUGCCAGUUAGAGGAAGAAACCUCUGCUGGCAAGCAACAGAAUAAGGUGUGUGCACCAGGUAGCUUGGGGUAUGCCUCUCUCCAGCUGCAAGUGCCAGAGUGACAAGUCCUGACAUUGAGGGAUCCCUCAGCUGAGUGGCCUUGGGCAUGUCAUCUUACCUCCAUGAACCUCAGUUUCCCCACCAGGACCAUGGGGCAGACGAAGCAGUCUGAGACCCUUCCAGUUGGCAGUAGUUGUCUCCUUCCAGGCCCCGCCUUGCACUGACCCAUUUUUCUGAGGCUUCUCCGAGCCCAGACAGUUGCUCUCUGAGGGCCCCAAUCCCAUAAAUCACAACUGAUUUCAUGGAGCAGGGCGGCUGCUGGCGCCCAGGCAUUUUGUGGUCAUUAAUCAACAUUGGCGGUACCAAGGCUGCUGCAAGGCAGCUUUGCAGGGUCUGGGUCUGGUCUUCAAGGCUGGGGUACCUGCCAGGCUGAAAUGGCCAGCCCCUAACAGAUUCCCCUUAUCCUGACAGGUCCCUACCCACCUGCCUCCCCUGCCUCUCCCACUCUGCAUUCAGCCAACAGGUUCUCCCAUUACUCCCUCUGGAGCUACUCCUCAGCUUCCCAGGCUCUCAUAGUGUGCAAACAGACAGAAGCCAUCCUGUACCCCACUUUAUCAAAGAGGAGUCUGAGAAGAGGAGUGACUUAGCCAAGAUCACACAGCAAGUGUGUGGAGGCCUUUUGAUCUGAAGCUUCUGAUCUUUGCCCCUGUCAUUGAGGAGACCCCAGCCCAGGGAGAGGACAUGGGGUGGCACACUGAGCCUCCACCCAGCCUGGAAGACCCCAGCUGCCUGCUGUGCCUGUAUUCACAGCCCUCUCUCCUGACCGAAGGGGUCUGCUCCAGCUGCCACGGGCUCCUGGGAAAUUAAACCUCUCAUCCCCGA
Molecule: long non-coding RNA, 2017 nt
Organism: Leopardus geoffroyi (Geoffroy's cat)
Lineage: Eukaryota; Metazoa; Chordata; Mammalia; Carnivora; Felidae
Exons: 3
Source: RefSeq, a predicted model, not a curated record